GUUUGCUGUCACUCCCUGCUUUGCUCAGCAGCUGAGACACCACACACAGCUGAGGAGAGGGAGCCAGAAGUGUGGUAAAUAAGGAUGCUGAGACUGUCCUCUAGUCUUCCAGCUUCCCUUGACUUCUGUUGCUCAGCCUUUCCUGCUGUUGGUAAGUUGUCUUUAAAUCAAAGCUUUAAUAGGAAAAGGGCCCAGACGCAUUCUGUGACUCUGGAGGAGAUUCAAUAGGGAUUGUGUUUUGAACAGCUAGAGCUAUUUUUUGUCAUCUGCAUACUAUCCCUUGCUUUUUCCUGUAGGACUAAUUGCAGUCAUUAACAGUCGUCAAGAGGUUUACCAUACCCAUUGAGUCAAUCACCCAUCUCCUACUAACUUCAUGAGAAACGUCUACCCUAUAUAUCUUAUUUCUUCUUUGGUAAUCACUCAUAGCCGAGUAAGAUUGUCUUCCAUAAACAUUGUUUUAACAAUGAGUCCCUAAGUGACUGUGGAGGCCAAUUCUGGAUCCACGCAUCCAUCCACAGUGGGGACAUUGGUUUCUGGGCAGGAUUUGAUCACGGUGUGGAUUUGCCAAGGGUUCCUUCCUCAAAGCACGU
Molecule: long non-coding RNA, 590 nt
Filed under: Podarcis muralis (Common wall lizard)
Lineage: Eukaryota; Metazoa; Chordata; Lepidosauria; Squamata; Lacertidae
Description: lncRNA (ENSPMRG00000018119.1)
Source: RNAcentral